CUGAAGCAAAUAUGCAGGUGGUUGUUAGAGAACAAGGGUACCGAGCGUGACCAACGCGAGAAGUCACUUGGAUGUCUACUCACUCGUCAGUGACUUACUCAAUGUUGCAGUAGUAUGACUGGUCCUUUGACCUGCGGUGCCUCGGCUAUUCACAAUGAGGUUACUGUAGUUUGACUGUACAUACACUUGGUCCCUAGCCAUUCGGGUCCUUGCGGUGCAUGUUGGCUGCAGUAGGUUCAUUGUAGGAAUAGGAUGCGCACUUAGAUAGAAUCUAUCUCCCUUGGUAGAUAGGGGUGUUAGUCCUAUAUGAUUUAUGAGAUCGAGUUUAGAAGAUCUUGGCCAGGGCAAACUUAAUAGCGGAAAAGGGUUUCCGAUAGUAGAAACUCGAGUCGAAUAAAUUUAACAUAUGACAGACGAUGGGGUUUGACGAGUUAUUCCAUAACCUCCGUCUAGUCGGGACUCAUGAUAGAAGGAUUGUAUCACACGGUAACUGCACCAAGAGGUUCAUUAUUCCAUUCUACUGGAAUGCCACUACAUGCUGCUAGGCGUCACUGGUGGAUUGUGAGACUCAUGAGAAUUAUCUAGAUGAUCGAUAAUUCUCAUUGGGCUGAGUUGGAAUUGUUCUAAUCCAUUGAAAGGAGUUUCAGUGAUAUUGUUGAUAGUGAUCAAAAUAUAUCUCACUACCAGAUAGAAUAGAACCUAUGGGGUCACACACAUAAGAGGUUGUGAUUGAUCGGAUAGCUAGAUCGCGAUUAUUGAAUCGCCGGAGGACCUAAUUGUCAAUAUGUUGAUAAUUGGACUAAUUUGUAAUUAUUACAAAUUAAUGGUAUUAAGGUGUAAAUGUUACUAGAGAGGACUUACUAAUAGUUAGUAAAUUAUAAGAGGACUUAUGUGCAAAUAUUACUUUAUUAAUUUUAUAUGAUCAAAUUAAUAUAAAAUUUAAGUCGAAUCAAAUUAGGAUUUUAUCGAUCUAACCAAUUAAGAAAAGGAUAAAUUUAUAUCUAGAUUCGUACUUAUCCUUAAUGGUUAUUAUAUUAUCAAAAAGAGGAUUAUAUUCCUCUAUAUAAUAAUACGAGAGUUUUGAGAAACCCUAGCGGUCAUAUUUCUUCUCCUCUCUCUUCCAUCUUCUAGCAAAAAGGCGUCCUUUGCAAGGAAGCUAGCACCCCGAUGAGGAUAUCGAUCAAAUCAAGAACCUCGUGUGGAUACCUAUAGAGAUCGGACGCGUGUUGUCACGCCCCGGGACCGAUGCCAAUUUGGCUCGACCCGAGCACGUCAAACAGACGCCGAACGGACAGAGUUUUCCCUAUCCGCCCAAGGCUCAUCACAUGUACAUUUUUAUCAAUAGAGAAAAGCACUAGCGGAAACAUAUACAAACGGCUUACAUGAGGGUAAGCAAUAGCCAUUAGUGAAAGAAAGGAAAACUAAACAUUUACAAGUACUAUGAUUCAUUUUUUGAUCAUAUACAUUGCAUUCAUUUACAUUUAUGAUUCUUGUACUUCAUUACACAUUUCAUCAUUUCUUUCUUACAUCACAUUUACCUCAAAAUAAGCUUUACAUUCUUUUCUCAACAUCAUUAGUCAUCAAAUACAAAAGAUGAACAUAGGGUACUCUACUAACAAAAUGUAAACCCAACUCAACUCUGGUGGCCUCUGUCUAAGGCGCAAUACCUUUACCUCGGUCGCUCGCCGGCUCGCUCGGUCCCGGCUCUGUGGAAAUAGUGGGGUGAGAACUACAACAAAGUUCCCAGUGGGUUCGGCCCAAACAUCACCGACUUUCCCACUAGGACUAAACUCAGGCAUAAUAGAAGGAUAAGCUGAAAUAUAGUAACCAAUCUACAACAUGAUGCUAAUAUGCCUGAACAAUAAGCAAGGAAUAUGCUCAACAUUAACAUAUGCAGAUUAUGCAAGUUCUUUCAUUCUUUAUCUUUACUCUUUGUUCUUUGUUCUUUGCUCUUUGUUCUUUAUUCUUUAUUCUUUAAUCUCAAGGCUAACCCGGGGGUUUCGCCACAUUAACUUGCUUCACAUUAAGUCCAUCAUCGCAGGAACUCACCCGCUAGGACCGUCCUUCGGGUUUACUCCAACCCGUGAUGCAUAACUCCGGAGCGCAUCGCCCGAGGGGGAGCGACCGCCCUCGAGCACGGAACUCAUAGCAAGUAUGAUCAUAUCCUUAACUCAAAGGAUUUAUAUGUUCAAUCUUGACUUUACACUAGCUCUAGUGUUCAUUACAUCACUUUAUGUUGCUAACUCUUGCAAUCAUUGUUCUUUACCAUUCAUUACUCUUGCUAUCUCUAGCAAUUAUAUUCCUUACCAUUCACAUUACUUUAACUUUAAACAUUGUCAUUUUCAUCAUUAUUUACAAUACAUUGGUUUUUUAGUUCACACUAUCUCUAGUGUCAUUUCACUUUAACUUUAUCGAAUGCCACUUGAUCUAUGUCAUUGUGUCACUCUGUUCUUUUGCUCACUUUGGGUGCUCACUUUUCUCUCAUGCAUACACAUAGGGUUUUCGACAUUCACAUAAUUCUCACUCAUCGUAUUAUGCAAGUUGUACUCACAAUCAUGAAUCAUUAUAUUUUCAUCAUUACUUUGCCCUAAAAUGCAUGCAACAAUAUAUUUACACAUGCUCAAAUGAAUGACACAUUAGGCAUAGAGAGAAGUUCAACGAGUUUGGAAAGCACCACCCACCUCGUAGGUCUCUUUAGGUGCUCCGACGAUUUUCUUGAGAUUUUUAGACACUCGGUUCACUACCUGCGGCAUAACAAAGCCAAAUUAGGCUUAUUGGGCCAUAACUUUACAUACACUUUUCGUAAUGCUAUUCCGAGCGCACCAACGCGUCGGAAGUACCCCCAAUUAGGUUUCUAGAUGGUCAAUUGCACUUAGAAAUCCCCAUGAGCAAAAGCCCCAAUUUGGUGCCCUAGCUCCAAUACAUAUACAAAACCUAGGGUUUGAUCUCAUUGGGAAGCAAAAGUAGCUUCAUUAUACUCUAAAAAGUCUAUUAGAACCAUCUUUAGAUAAAUCAAAACCCUACUUAGGGUUUCACCAUGAGAGGUGAUGAAGCUCACCUCAAGCUUCACCAUUUCUAUGGUCUUAAUCUCAAACGAAGCAAAAGAAAAGUUUCAAAUACUCAAAUGGUUCCAUAAAACCCAUUUUAAGCUUAAUCCAAACCCUAGAUUAGGUUCUACCAUGAUUAGGGUUCCAAGCUUACCUUGUAAGCUCUCCUUUUCCAAGCUAGAGAGGAAGAAGAUGAAGUUGCUUCACCUCUUGAUCUUCUUCUUCACCUUAUUUUCCUUCUUUUCCUUCCUUUCUUUCUUUCUUCUUCUUCUCCUUUGUCUUCUAGAGAGAGAGAGGGAGAGAAGAGAGUGUGAGAGGGUGAGGAAAUGAGAGAAAUAUCUCAUUUGCCCUCAUACAUAGCUAUUGGGUUGCCAAAAUGCAAAUAAACCCCUCAACUUUCACUUUAAUACACUGCCCGAACUGGGCUGUUCGCGCAGGCGGGGACCGGUCUCUCCUUCAGGGACCGGUUCCCAAAGGCUCUCCCCGCGCAGCAAGAGCUGCUGCGCGCAGGGCAACCGGUCUCUCUUUGGGGGACCGGUCUCUCGGGGACCGGUCUCUCAGGCAGGGACCGGCUCCCGAGAGCUAGUUUCUCAGGACUUAGCCGAUUUUUCGGCUGUCUCCUUUCAUACACGUUCGGGGACUGGUCUCUCCCACCAGGGACCGAUCCCCGAGAGCUCAAAAUCUGCAGUUUUGCAGAAUUUGAUUCUUUAGCUCUCGAAAACCUUCCACAACGCACUUUUGAUCAUUUUAACACCUUCAGACUUUCCGAAGUGUACCGUCCUCGCACUUUGGUCAAUUUGACUAAAGUUCGAUAUUUACUUUCUGAAUUUUCGGUAUAUUACACGUGUGCAGCUUCAAAAGAACCCAAUUCCACGAUCAUCAAAUUGAGUAUUUGAUGUGAAGAUCUAUCCGCGAAAAAGGUAAAGAUUCCAUCUUACUUUUCUUCUUUAAUCUUAAAGAACAUGAGGGAUCCUAAUUGCGUGGUUUUUUAGAUUGGAUUUCGAGAGUUUUCAAAAUCAAAUUUGUUUGAUUUCUUUUUCUGCUGCGUUUUUACCGUACGCAAUUUUCUAACAUCUACAUGGCGGUUGCCUUUGUUUAUUGUUCGCAUAUCCAUACUUGUAACAUACCGAAUCCCCAAUGAGUUGUAUCGAACUUCCGUCAAAUUGAUCGAAGUGUGGUAGUGGACGAGUUGGUGAGGUCCGUUAAUUAUUUCGAGUGAUUCGGAAUACAUUAGAUAAGUGGUUUGGGCCUGGGAGAGCAAGCUAGGAAAUUCCAAGCCUUUUUGUGCUGGAAAUGCUCUCGGGGUUCGAACCCUGAGUGCAAGGUUCGGACCCCGUAUAUGAAAAACCACAAAGUUGGUCUAACUCUGUUAUUUGAGGGGGCUAGGUGUAAUUGUACAAGUGGGAGUGUUUAUAUGGGGUGCUAUGUUGUUUUCCCCUCUCAUUUCCCUCACACUACCAACAUAAGAGAAAACUCUCUUUCUCUCUCUAAGACUCUCCACUCUAUCCCUUUCUCUCCUUCUCUCACUAGGGUUUGCUCCAAGAGAGGAGAUUGGUGGGAAAGAAGGCUUGCUUAGGGGUGAAGCUAGCUCUUGUGCAAGGGGUUGUGGAGAAAACUAAAACUUGAGGUGUGUUUUGUGGUUAUGAGCUAGGAUUUUGGUUAGUGUCCUUCUAAUUGUGGUUUCAAGAAGAUUCUAUGGUAGAUUGAUUCAUGAAUCUCCUAGAAAUAGUGGGUAUUUGGUAAUGGAAACCGUAGGGUUAAAUUAGGGUUUUUGUAGAAUUGAGAUCUAACUUGGGUUUGAUCUCUUGUAGCCCUAAUUGGUAGACAAACCGACACGUUGGGAGACUCGGAUUGGAGUUCUGACGAGUCUACGUCGAGAUAUUGGGGAAAACCCCCAUUUCGGCUUCGUUUGCUGUGGGUCGAGGAAAAUAGGCGACCAUAAAUUAAUUGCGAGACUUGAGUUGCAGCCUUCCGGCAUUCCCAUGAGGUAGGGGUACUAUCCGAAAUCAUCCAAUUUCUCAUUAUGUCUAUGUCGCCUUUUUGAGCAUAUAUGUGUAUUUGUGGCAUUCAUGCAUAGUAGGGGUAUUGUGAUAUGCGGCUAUGGUUGGGAAUCUCUUGUAUACUUUCAAUGUAAAAGAACAUAUGAAUUGAUAAUGGACCAUGCAUAUAGAAACCUUAUAAAUGUAUGAAUUGGAUGUGCCCCAAUACAUUUGAAGAGAUUUAACGUAUGAGUAAGAUCUCUUAUGCCUCAGCUAUAAGGAGUCUUAUGUAUGCCGUGCUGUGUACACGACUUGAUAUCGCGCUUGCUGUGAGUGUCACAAGCAGAUAUCAAUCUAAUCCAGGCGAUGAGCACUGGACUGCUGUGAAGAAUAUACUCAAGUACUUGAGAAGAACUAAGGAUAUGUUCUUGGUCUUUGGAGGAUGAGAGUUGAAAAUAUAAGGAUAUACUGAUUCAGACUUUAUAUCUGAUGUUGACGAUAGAAAGUCUAUGUCAGGAUGUGUGUUCUUAUGCAAUAGUGGCUCAGUGUAGUGGAAGAGUUCCAAACAACCGAUUAUUGCUGACUCUACUAUGAAAGUAGAGUAUAUCGCCGCAUCUGAAGCUGCAAAAGAAGCCUUCUAGUUCAGGAAAUUUGUUGCAGAACUAGGUGUGAUGCCAUCGGUGCCAUACUACUUUACUGCGACAACAAUGGCGCCAUAGCCCUAGCUAAGGAGCCCAGGUCUAAUCAGAAAUCCAAAUAUAUAGAGCGGCGGUUUCAUAUAAUACGCGACUACCUCGACAAGAAACACAUUGAGAUGCACAGAGUAGACUCCACGGUUAACGUGGCAGACCUAUUGACUAAAUCACUUAGCCAGCAGAAGACUGAAGUCCGUCUUGAGAAGAUGGGGCUUAGGUAUAUAGCUGAUUUGGCUUUAGUACAAGUGGGAGAUUGUUAAAUGUAUGCCUUAGAAACUAACCAGGCCGACACAUGUAUUUUUCUAGAACAUAAAUUUGUAUUUGACUUUAAAAUAUUAUAAAUAAAUUUGGGUUCUUAUUUUCAUUUAUAUUGUGUAUGUGUCCAUAAAUCAUCCAAUAAAUUAAUAAGAUGAUGACAUAUAUUCUCAAGAGUUGAGAAUUUGAGACGUGUCAUUGGUGAUUAAUUCCUAAAUGCUCCCGAUCAAUGAAUCAUCACAGAGACGGUGAUUGAUCCGAUGAGAUUGAUGCAUAGGUCGCUUCCAUUUUUGGGUAGACCAGUCUUGAGUCGACAGUGUGGGGACAUUGAAGCGAAUAUGCAAGUAGUUGUUAGAGAACAAGGGUACUAAGCGUAACCAACGCGAGAAGUUACUUGAAUGUCUACUCACUCGUCAGUGACUUACUCAAUGUUGUAGUAGUGUGACUGGUCCUUUGACCUGCGGUGUCUCAGCUAUUCAUAAUGAGGUUACUGUAGUUUGACUGUACAUACAGUUGAUCCCUAGGCAUUCGGGUCCUUGCGGUGCAUGUUGGCUGCAAUAGGUUCAUUGUAGGAAUAGGGUGCGCACUUAGAUGGA
Molecule: long non-coding RNA, 6572 nt
Filed under: Ananas comosus (pineapple)
Lineage: Eukaryota; Viridiplantae; Streptophyta; Magnoliopsida; Poales; Bromeliaceae
Description: long non-coding RNA (ACOM_LNC024298)
Source: RNAcentral